RNAcentral lists this ribosomal RNA (1020 nucleotides) under Triticum aestivum (bread wheat). RNAcentral's name for it is "partial small subunit ribosomal RNA". The record is from RNAcentral. Lineage: Eukaryota; Viridiplantae; Streptophyta; Magnoliopsida; Poales; Poaceae.
AUGAAUUGUUUAUUCUGGAAUAUCAGGGGUAUCACUACCCCAGGAAAGAAACCUUGUAUUAUAGAUACCUUGACUAAAACAAAUGCUAGUAUAGUUGCUUUCCAGGAAACUAAGAAAGAAGAGCUUACUACUGCCUUUCUUAAGUCCAUUAGUGGGAAUAAGAAUUUUCUCUGGCACCAUCUCCCUGCUGUAGGCACUGCUGGUGGUGUUUUGGUUGGUGUGGAUGCAGAUAUUUUUGAGGUCCUGCAAUGGAGCUCGCUGAAUUACUCUGUGUCCUGUAACCUGAAAGUUAAAGCUAAUGGGACCUGCUUUAGAGUUAUAGCUGUUUAUGGGUCUCCAUACGAUGAGAGCAAAGAUGCUUUUAUCUCUGAACUCCAUAGCCUCUUUGUGGAUGACCAAAUGCCCACUCUCAUAGGAGGAGAUUUUAAUCUAGUUAGAUAUCAGCAAGAUAAGAGUAAUGGUAAUAUUAACCAUCUCUGGGCUGAUAAAUUUAAUGCCUGGGUGGAAAUAUGGAGCCUUCUAGAAAUUAGGAUGUCGGGUAGGAAAUUCACUUGGGCUAAUAACCAAGAGAAUAACAUCAUGACUACCAUAGAUAGGAUCUUCUGCACCACUGAACUGGAAGCUAUGUUCCCUCUAUGCACCUCCCAAUCCCUCCCCGGAACUGGGAGUGACCAUACUCCCCUUCUAUGGGAUUUAGAGUUGGGGAGCAGUACUAGAGGCUCCAGUUUCAAAUUUGAAAAAUGGUGGUUGCUCCAUAAGGAUUUCAAGGAUUUGGCCAUCAAGAACUGGACAGCUCCAGCCAAGAAGGACAAACCAAUAGAUGUCUGGCAAGAAAAAGUUAGAAGAUUCAGAAAAUUCUCCAAAGGGUGGACUAAGAAUGUAGAAGCAGAGAUUAGGAAGUUGAAAACUGCUCUCACAAAAGAGUAUGAUGGGUUGGAUAUCAAAUCUGAAACAACUUGUCUCUCUGAUGUUGAGGUUGCUAGGAUGCAGAAUAUUCUAAAAGAACUUAGAUAUAUCUAG